AACGAACGCUGGCGGCAUGCCUAACACAUGCAAGUCGAACGAAGGCUUCGGCCUUAGUGGCGCACGGGUGCGUAACGCGUGGGAAUCUGCCCUUUGGUUCGGAAUAACAGCUGGAAACGGCUGCUAAUACCGGAUGAUGACGAAAGUCCAAAGAUUUAUCGCCAGAGGAUGAGCCCGCGUUGGAUUAGGUAGUUGGUGGGGUAAAGGCCUACCAAGCCGACGAUCCAUAGCUGGUCUGAGAGGAUGAUCAGCCACACUGGGACUGAGACACGGCCCAGACUCCUACGGGAAGCAGCAGUGGGGAAUAUUGGACAAUGGGUGCAAGCCUGAUCCAGCAAUGCCGCGUGAGUGAUGAAGGCCCUAGGGUUGUAAAGCUCUUUUACCCGGGAAGAUAAUGACUGUACCGGGAGAAUAAGCCCCGGCUAACUCCGUG
RNAcentral lists this ribosomal RNA (433 nucleotides) under uncultured bacterium. RNAcentral describes it as "partial 16S ribosomal RNA". It matches the Rfam family "Bacterial small subunit ribosomal RNA", at positions 29 to 507 of the family's 1533-position model. The record is from RNAcentral.